AGACACUACAGCAACCACCGAUCCAGGGGCAGGAAGACUCAGACACCUGCUACUACUGUGGUCGGAAUGGACACUGGUCACGAGACUGGCCCCAGAGGAGAGGAAGAGGGCAUGGCAGAGGGUACCCGCAGGGCAGAGGACGGGGACACUCAGAGCUCCAAUUCCAAUCGGAACCACGGCAACAAUUGGACUGACUAGAAAGAGAGGUCGAGCCGGCUGAGGAACAUCCAACCACGAUUCAGGCAUGGUAUCACACUACACCACCACUGCAACAUCCACACACAAAUGUGAUUAACCUAUUUGUAUACUCAUCUAUUGUUAUGUUAGCUACUCCUGUAACCCCGGAAUUUAAAUGGAUUUGCAUUUGGGGGCUGCCCCAUUCAGAGUCAAGCAUGCUAUUACAAUGGGCAAAAGGCAGAGUGGGCCCUGCUGCACAUCUGCAAACAGAUGAUGCAGUGCACUGUACAGCCCACGUCGCACCAAGCCAGGACACAAAUUAUGUGGAGCGUUUCUACGCACAAGCCUCAGUCCACCACUGAUACUAUGUACUGGGAUCCCAUGCGCUGCGCUGCAUCUGUCAACUUGUCUGUCUGUCAACCUCUUAUCAAUCCUGAUCUUGUUCUCUUUGUCGAUGGGUCAGCAUCCCGGGAUCCGGACACAGGCCGGUGCAAAGCCGGUUACGCAGUCUGUGACUCCUGCGGCACUGUUGAAUCUGCGUCUUUACCAUCCAACUAUACAGCUCAAGCCGCUGAAUUGGGGGCCAUUACCAGAGCUUGCCACCUUGCAGCCAACCAGUCAGUUACCAUCUUCACUGAUUCUAGUCACUCGCCACACAGAAGGAUAAGCAGCUCUGGCGCCAGAAAUCCGGGCAUGAGUGAAAGCAGCACUGCCGUCUCCAGCGGACCAACAGCUCCAUCCGUUACAUCCAGGGGACUACGUGGUGAUCAAGGACCUCCGGAGGACCAGGUGGAACCAGAAAAGGUGGCAAGGCCCAUUCCAAGUCCUGCUGGUGACUCAGACUGUGGUGAAAGUAGCCGAGAGAGCAACGUGGAUCCACGUUUCCCACUGCAAGAAGGUGCCAGAACCGAAGGAGCCGGUCAGUAGGGAGUGAAACUAGCAUCCCUGCUGCUCCAAGUGGCGUGCAAGCCACCAACGAAAAAACAAGAUGAGCCUCCAAGGAAAACCUUUGCAUCCCAGGCGACGGACCGACCUGAUCCUGAGGAAAUUCCUGUGUGUUCUGGGUGUGAUAUCAAUCACAGCAGCAUUACCCAUCUUCUCCCCUCCUGCCUAAUACCUGGGCCACAGUCCCGCUGUCGCGCAUUUCCAACCUUGAGAACACAGCUGCAGGGUAUGCCGGGAGUCAAUGGUACAUGACCAAUGAUCAGCUAGAUACCGGAUGGCACACCCUAGUGGCGGACCCACCGGGCCAGGACUGGUCAUCAUAUACGACAACAAACUGCCCGUCGACAGCGCCCUCUACUGACACUCACCUCGACGAGCAACAAGCUUACACUGACAGUAAAUCUCACAAAAGGGAGCCUCCUUGAUGAUCCUGACGGAAGCGGCUGCUGGUUGUUCCUGAUGUGGGCAUGGAAGGAUGGAACUGAUCCUAGUUUCCUGCUGCAGCUCUGUGUGGAUCGUCCUAAUAGCAUCCCGAUAGACCCCAUGCCUGCUGUCCUCUCACCUAAAGCCACUUCCUCGGGAAUCAAGCUAGUCCUAGAACCCACGGUGGAUGAUUAUUUCGAAAUCAUGACUGGUAUUUUGGGAUCCACAAAUAACUGGUUACUGUUAGCAGAACAAGCAGGGACGGCUGCAAGAUCCGACUGUACUGUAUGCUUGGGACCCCGUCCAGUGUUAAGAAUAGUCUCUCUCCCUCCCGUUCUGAACGCAACAUGUCUGACAGAACUCCUAUCCAAAUCAAUCAUGACUUCCUGUUCAGGCUGGGAAGAGCCCUUCCCAGUUGUAGAAAAGACGAGAUCACCACCUAUAUUUAAUGCUGACGUUGCACAAGGGAACUUCACAUGCUUCACGAAUAAUGCUCCAGGAACCACCCCACUAGGAAAUGUAAACAUCACAUGGUGCUAGACGACCGUCAACUCACUGUCCGGACAAUACAAGGUGGCCAGAGCUGACCUCUGGUGGUGGUGUGGAGGGAAUAUCCUGCGAAGCCUUCUGCCGUCCAAAUGGACAGGAAUUUGUGCCCCUGUAAAUCUUAUCCUGCCUGCCAUAAUUGUUUCAGGAUCGGUAUCUCAUACACUCUUCCCACAAACCUUGACCAGAAUCCGUAGGUUCGCAGACAGCAUGGACCAAGAUUCAACCUACAUCGACGCUAUAGGAGUACCACGAGGAGUGCCCGACGAGUACAAAUUGGUGAAUCAGAUUGCAGCGGGCUUUGAGAGCACCAUCUGCUGGUGGUGCACGAUAAACAAAAAUAUGGACAGAAUCAACUACAUCCAUUACAAUGUGCAGCGACUGGCCAACUACACCAGGGAUGGACUCCAAACAGUGCAUGAGCAGCUGUGUGCAACUUCCAUGUUGGCAUUCCAGAAUAGGUUGGCGUUGGAUAUGCUCCUUGCCGAAAGAGGAGGAGUGUGCUCAAUGUUUGGAACUGAGUGCUGUACAUUCAUCCCCAACAACACCGCCCCCAUGGGAAAGCUAACACGGGCAGUGAAUGAACUAAGAACUUUAAGCGACAGCAUGAAAGAACACUAUACUGGUUGACACCAGUAUAUGGGACAAGUUGCUAAGUGUGUUUGGGAAAUAUCGGACACUCAUAACGUCAGUACUAACAUCAUUAACAGUGUUUACAGCAAUUCUUGUGUUGUGUGGGUGUUGCUGUGUACCAUGUAUCAGGGCUCUCUUGGUGAAACUGAUUAAUAGAAUGAUGGGAGAAAGAGUGAUGCAUCUGACCUAUGAAGCUUUAAGGACUAACAAAGAGGAAGCAGUUCCACCAGAGACACCUGUAGUCGUCACUACAAACAGCUGGCUCAACAUUGACUCCAGCGAAGAUUAAUCCGAAUCUGAACUGGAAGAGGGUGAUAAAGAUGGACUAAGUUGCUGAUGUAUGUCAAGUUUACUGCCAAAAUCAGGUUGAUCCAAGUAGGAUCAAAAGGGGGGAAUUGAAAUGGAAUUUGAUUGUGAAAUGUAAAUUGAGUGCAGAAGGAAGGGUUGAAAUUAAUUGAAUUAAUUGUUUUCUUCUCCAAACGGCUAAAAAUUCCGUGACAAACUUGGUGUCAGAAGUGGGAUCCUGGGUACGUCCGUCAGGACCCGACCAAGGGGCUGGCCACCUGAAUCCACCAAAGGUGAUUCAUCCUCAAACCCCGCAAUCUUAAGGAGGAGGAGGACCCAGUCGGGCCCGAUCGACGGUCACAGGAUUCCUCGAAUUCCAUGGCUGAAUUUAAAUUGGUAAGACGUAUUUAUCCUAAUAUUUAGAAUGAAUUACUGUGUAGGAUAGACGCUAACCUUACUCUGCUAACCGGCGAGUGCCGCUAAACAGCUUAAAUAAAUACGAAAAUCCUGUGAGCCCUUUGAGACGAGACCAGGUUACAAAUAUAAGUAAACAUCAAAGGAAGUCCUGUGAAUUUAUUAAAAUAAGACCAGGUUACGAAAUGAGGUCCUGUGAAUUUAUUAAAAUAAGACCAGGUUACGAAAUGAAGUCCUGUGAGAUCAUUGAGGCAAGACCAGGUAAUAAAGUGUAAAUCCUGUGAGCAAAAAAAGAGGCAAGACCAGGUAUCAAAACGUAAAUCCUGUGAGCAAGAAAAAGGCAAGACCAGGUUGUUAAACAUUAAAGGAAGUCCUGUGAAUUUUUUUAAAUAAGAUCAGAAAAUUCCGCGACACAGUAUUUUGGUGUUUUUGGUGACUUUAGUGUGUUGGUAUUUUUGGAACUUUCUAGUGAAUUUUGUAUCUUGUGUAUGGUACGUUUCCCUGCUGUAAUAUUCUCAGGGAAUAUCUUAUAUAUGUGUGUGUGCUAUGCUGUAGUGCCGCCUAGAGGCAUUUGUUGAAAGUCGUCACUUGGUAACAAGGGGUGUGUCUAUCGGGUAGAGUUGCGAAGUCAAUAUGGAGUACCCGUAUGUAUUCACAGAGCGGAAAUAGAAGUUAAGCCCGCACGUCGUCCUGCUUUUUUUUAAUUGUACAUAUUGUGCAAUACAAGACAUGGUGUCAGAGUGACUCGAACCUGCAUUGAAAAGAAGAAAAUAACAGUGGAAAUAUGGACGUCGCUGGAGUUCCUUCACCUCGCAUGGACUGGGAUGCGAGCAACUUACCCGAAGCAUGGUGAAAAU
This is a long non-coding RNA of Takifugu rubripes (torafugu), 4280 nucleotides long. The record is from Ensembl. Lineage: Eukaryota; Metazoa; Chordata; Actinopteri; Tetraodontiformes; Tetraodontidae.